This 1097-nucleotide long non-coding RNA is filed under the name Medicago truncatula (barrel medic). RNAcentral describes it as "lncRNA gene45736". The record is from RNAcentral. Lineage: Eukaryota; Viridiplantae; Streptophyta; Magnoliopsida; Fabales; Fabaceae.
CUUGAUUAAACAAUAAAAUGCAAAUGAUGAUUCUUGUAUUAGGACUUUUCUAAGGCAUUAAUGAAAGAAAGGAACUUACUAGUUACUACUAAAUUUGAAAGCACCGUUAUAAUCUCUGGUACACGUAUUUCUCUACUGUACAGAAAUAAUAACUCAGAUAUUUAUUUGUUUGUUUAACACCUUAGAAGAAGAAGCUUAGAAGAAAAGAAAAGAAAAAAAAAUAAUUGGCAACAAAACAUGAUUUUGAGUUUCCUUCCACAGUUCUGCCUUUUCUAUACAAAGGUUGCUAUCUUUUUUCCAGAACAAGAGAAGGAAGAAAGAAGAGAGGCUCAUGAGCUACUAACAACCAUAGUUUCAUGGACAAACAAACACUUUAUCACUUAUCAGCAUUGAUUCCGAAUAUCCUAACCUUGUGCAUGUUGGGGAACUUCGCAACAACUAGCACAAUCACGGCAACCGUGUUGAAGAACAGCAUUGGAUGCUCAUAGUCAGUUGUGUGUGAGGCUAUCAAGUACCUAACCAAAGGAACAACUGUCAAAAACUUCCUGUUACGAGUGAGCUGCUUUCCAUUGUCGACCUGCUCCCACCAUGUCAAUCUAUUGUAGAUCCCCUGAUCAUCUGCAAAUGGAGUUCCUUUCUUCCAGUGGAAAAAGUGAUAUAAGAAUACAAGAAAAUGAGCGAGAUUAACAAUAGUCCAAGCAAUCCCAGGAGAACAACCAAAGACAGACAAAACCAUGAUCCAUGAAAAGAAGAGGAUGAGAAUAUAUGUUGUCCAAACACCAGGAUACGUAAACCAUUCUGUGUUCCUGUUCAGAUCCGCAGGUGGCACAGCUUUGACAUAGAGAUUUGCCAUCAAAUUUUGCAAAAUUUGGAAAAUCUAAAUACACCCUUUUGAUUGAAACGUUGAAUAGAAUAAAUCUAGAUAGAAAAGAUUGAAACUUGAUGAAUUUGAUUUUGAUGGGUUUGAUUUAGGGUUGUUUGUGAAUGAAAAUUCCAAAACCCAAAAACGUAACCCUUAUUUUGAUUUUGGAUUCAAUGAUAUUAGCGUGCGUGUGUGUCUGUGUGAAAAUGUGAAGGAAAUUGGGAAAUUGAAAAUU